Molecule: long non-coding RNA, 1498 nt
Organism: Dama dama (fallow deer)
Lineage: Eukaryota; Metazoa; Chordata; Mammalia; Artiodactyla; Cervidae
Exons: 4
Source: RefSeq, a predicted model, not a curated record
UUUGGAUAAUCUUCUGGGAAUGGAAAGUCCGGGUAACAAGACAUCUCCUUGCAGGUGUUGGAAACCACAGACUUGUAGAGGCUGGCUCUGCCUUCUUCAACAUGUUCCUAUACAAGCAGUGCAUGAAAAUGAGAAGAUCUAAAGCAGUGCUGUUCAAAGAGCCAGACUGGUAUGAACUCUUUGCCACCAGUUUAUGACAAUCUCGAGAAUCACAGCUACUGGUCAUGGACCAUGCUUUGAGUAACAAGACUUUACAGCAGUCCUACCUGAUAGGAGUGGGACGUAGCCCACACAUGUACUUUAAAAAUUUCCAAUAGCCACAUUAAAAAAGGGGCUCAGAUAGUCAAGAAUCUGCCUGCAGUGCAGGAGACCCAGGUUUGAUCCAUGGGUCAGGAAGAUCCCUUGGAGAAGGGAAUGGCUCCCCACUCGAGUAUUCUUGCCUGGAGGAUUCCAUGGACAGAGAAACCUGGUGGGCUACAGUCCAUGGGGUCGCAAAGAGUCAGACAUGACUGAAGAAGUAACACUCCUUGGAUAUGGCUAGUCAUCAGACAUCUCAGAUUCAAUGAGUCCAAAAUUGAGUUUAUCACUGAAGUCCUCCUGCUCAGGCUUGCAUUCUUCCACACGCCUCCCCUCGUCCCAGCACUGCUCUCAAUCCAGUUUCCACUGCCUGAAAUCUGCAAGUCACCUGUGAUUCUGCUCUCUUCCUUUAAUUAUUCUUGGAGCCAAUCAUUAUGUCCUGCUGGUUUCACUCUUAACUAUUUCUCUUCUCCACGUUGUCUGUUUGCCUGGCUGAGGUUGUAUCAUGUUUUAGUAUAGACAAUUACAUAGCCUUCUCACUGGUCUCUGGGACUGUAUUCCUUUCACCUUUCAAAUCUAUCUUUCACACUAAUGCUGAAAUAAUCUACCAAAAAUGUAAAUCUGAUAAUGUCUGGUCUUUGCUUAGAACCUUUCACUGGGUCCUCUGGCAGAAGAGCUUUCUUAAGUGGAGACUCUAGGUCCUCAAGCCAGACUUAAUCAGGGCUCCUAAGGGUCCACUGGAUGGUUUUGGGUCUACCAGCUAAAUUUGGGAAGGGGCUUCAGGUGGCUCAGUAAAAAAAGAAUUUUCCCACAAUGCAGGAGACGCAGAUUUGAUCCCUGGAUUGGGAAGAUCUUUUGAAGAAGGAACUGGCAACCCACUCCAGUAUUCUUGCCUGGGAAAUCCCAUGGACAGAGAAGCCUGGCAGCAUACAGUCCAUAGAGUCGCAAAAGAGUUGAACAUGACUUAGAAACUAAACAACAACAAGAAAUUAGAAAGAGCUGAUCUAUAUUUUAUAUUCAAACUCGUUAGUGUGCCUCAAAAGGUUCCUCUGUUCUGGUCCCUUGCUCUCUAAGAAGAAUCUUUCACCCCUCCCUGCCUCACACCCCACGUUCUAGGAAUAUCAGAUAACGUGUAACUCUCCAUCUAUAUCACACCUCUGUGCUCUCACUCAAGGGUUCCUUUUUCUGCACCUGGGAAACC